RNAcentral lists this transfer RNA (79 nucleotides) under Saccharomyces cerevisiae (brewer's yeast). Lineage: Eukaryota; Fungi; Ascomycota; Saccharomycetes; Saccharomycetales; Saccharomycetaceae. The record is from RNAcentral.
GGUUUCGUGGUCUAGUCGGUUAUGGCAUCUGUUUGUCACGCUGUUGGUAAUGUCCCCAGUUCGGUCCUGGGUGAAUUCC